AGCGAACGCUGGCGGCAGGCUUAACACAUGCAAGUCGAGCGGGCACCUUCGGGUGUCAGCGGCAGACGGGUGAGUAACACGUGGGAACGUACCCUUCGGUUCGGAAUAACGCUGGGAAACUAGCGCUAAUACCGGAUACGCCCUUAUGGGGAAAGGUUUACUGCCGAAGGAUCGGCCCGCGUCUGAUUAGCCAGUUGGUGGGGUAACGGCCUACCAAGGCGACGAUCAGUAGCUGGUCUGAGAGGAUGAUCAGCCACACUGGGACUGAGACACGGCCCAGACUCCUACGGGAGGCAGCAGUGGGGAAUAUUGGACAAUGGGCGCAAGCCUGAUCCAGCCAUGCCGCGUGAGUGAUGAAGGCCUUAGGGUUGUAAAGCUCUUUUGUCCGGGACGAUAAUGACGGUACCGGAAGAAUAAGCCCCGGCUAACUUCGUG
This 435-nucleotide ribosomal RNA is filed under the name uncultured bacterium. RNAcentral describes it as "partial 16S ribosomal RNA". It matches the Rfam family "Bacterial small subunit ribosomal RNA", at positions 29 to 507 of the family's 1533-position model. The record is from RNAcentral.